Molecule: long non-coding RNA, 1096 nt
Organism: Xiphophorus hellerii (green swordtail)
Lineage: Eukaryota; Metazoa; Chordata; Actinopteri; Cyprinodontiformes; Poeciliidae
Exons: 6
Source: RefSeq, a predicted model, not a curated record
GUUCAGUUGCCGGUGCUUUCAAAAAGGAGAUUCUUAUUGAGUACAGAGGGGAAGUCAUAAGUAGAAAGGAACAAGAAAACCGAUUGAAAAUUUACCAUGAUGCACUCGAGGCUUUUAUGUUUGAUUUCAAGUUCAAUGGACAACAGCUUUGUGUUGAUGCUGCCAGAGAGGAUGGAUCAUUGGGGAGGCUGGUAAAUGAUGAAGAGAUGAACCCAAACAGCAAAAUGAAAGUUACAAGGGUGGAUGGAAGACCUCAUCUCUGUUUAUUUGCACUCAAAGAUAUUGGUCCAGGGGAAGAAAUCACUUAUAAUUAUGGUGAUUCUGACUGGCCAUGGAGAAGAAAUGUACUGAUAAGAGUGAAAAUUCUAUCACAAGUCAUUUUACUAGCAUUGAAGACAUUUUUGAAGGAUAUGUCAUGUUGUAGUACAGAGUUUCAUUAUAGUUGAAAACAAGAAGUGAUUAGCAGUGCCUAAAAAAAAACAGAUUUUGGAGAAAGACUUAAUCAGACCACUAUUUCAACUUGGUUCAGUGCUAUCCAAAAUGCUAGAAACUGUCAUAUGUAAAUUAAUUUAUUCUAACCUUAUAUUUAUGAACAUUUUAUAGCAGGAGAUAUAUUUUGCAGUGUCAAUACACAAAGGUUCUGGUUAACAAUCAGCUGGACAGGUUCAUUCAGUAGUAGGUUUAGAAGUACGGACUCAUUCAGUGUACAUCCCUUCAUUUCAGAUUUCCAAAGAUGAAUUGUGUCAGGCUGUUGACGUGGAUGCAUGCGGAUCCUGUUCAACCAACCCUCCAGAGAUUUCCAAAGAUGAAAUGUGUCAGGCUGGUGACAUGGAUGCAUGCGGAUCCUGUUCAACCAACCCUCCAGAGAUUUCCAUAGAAGAACCGUGUCAGGCUGGUGAGGUGGAUGCAUGCAGAACCUGUUCAACCAACCCUGCAGAGCACAAAGUAAACACAGAGAUGGUAAGGGGAAAGAACUCAACAGAAAACUAAAACGGAAGGACAUAGAGCCCCGCAGAAAAAUGAACACAAAUAAAAAUUCUGCAUCUCUGGAAAGUGCUAGGAGAGCAAAAAAGCAUCCAUGGUCUCCCGUAGAGGU